Molecule: long non-coding RNA, 1780 nt
Organism: Frieseomelitta varia
Lineage: Eukaryota; Metazoa; Arthropoda; Insecta; Hymenoptera; Apidae
Exons: 2
Source: RefSeq, a predicted model, not a curated record
AUAACAUGCGUCGUAUGCGUUCUCUUUUCGUGAUGUCGCAGCAACUGGACACGAACGAAGAGACUCUGAGUGAUAUCUAAAAUAUAUCCCUAUUUCAGCUUGGCCGGAGACACAGAAAUAGAAUAGCCGAGGAUUGGAAACGUCGUAAAUACAGAGUAGAACGUCGAUUAUCCGAACUAAUCGGGACACAAAUCCGUUCCGAUUAAACAAGCGGUCUGGAGGAAUCAACUUCGCAAAUAGGUUUCAAACACGAGUGUUUAUUACGUAAAAGAAUACGUACAUAGAUGCUGUAAGAUUUCCAUUGUCUCUUCACCUGGUAUGCAACACAAGAGCUCUAUCUCUUGCGAUUAAUGCCAGAUCCAUUUGUACAUACAUACAUAGAUUUAAUUAUCAUCACAUUUGCUACCUUCGAACUUCUCUCUACAGAUGAAAAUCUCUCUUAUUGUUCAAGUUACUUUAAAAUUCCAAUAAUAUCGAUUCACUAUUUUUUAAUACUAGCACUAUUUUUUAAUACUAAUUGUACAUUUUCCAACAUUAUAUUCUGCGACUGAAUUAUAAUAUGUAUUUUCACUUCUUUUUUAAAUAUUCAAUGAUAUUUAAUUAAUUUUUCUUUUAAUAGUAUUUUCAUGGUGUAAAUGAAGGGCAAGUUUACCUGGACGAGGCACUAAAAUUUGGUGGACAUUUUAUCCAUUUCAAAGGAUCAUUUUAUCCGUUCCAAAGUAUAAAAGUUGCUCGUUUGAAAGAUGUAAUUUAAAUGUGCACUUAUAUAAUUAGGCUGUAUUCAGAUAAUUCACGUUCUACUGUAUAUUACUUUGGAAUUUUCUAAUAUAUAGGAUUCUAUACUCGAGGCAGAUUAAAUUCGAUUAUGUAGAAAUAUGUGUAUCGUACGUAUCGUUGUAUAAUUUAAUCUUCUAAUCAAAUUAAGUUCAAUGUACAUAUACCAUUGUACUGUUUUUCAAAGUUAAAACUUUUCUACAGUAUAAAAUUUUUAUGAUUUUUAUUCCAAUGAUAUAAUCGUAUAAUAGCUCUCUCUUUCUAUCUGUAUAUUAUUAUAAGUUGCAGGCUAAAGAGGGAAAUGGUUGAAUGUGUACAUAAACAUAAUUAAAUUUAUUUGCUUGUUAUGUUAUACUCUUCCUUUCGUUUAUUAAUGACACUUUGAAAAUAUUCCUCUUCAUUUAUAUACAUGUCCAAAUAAUCUUCGUUAGAAUUUCUUAUCAUUAUAAUUAAUCUCUUUGAUAAUAUAUAUCUUGUAAUCUAAAAUCUGUGUAUUUUUCUUUGCAUGUACAUGUGUGUGUGUGUGUGUGUAUGUAUGUGUGUAUUAAUACCUAUAAGUAGGUACCACUUAGAAAUCAAGGAGUAUCAUCUUGUCUAAAAUACUUUUUUUCAAUCACUUUAGAUUACAAAUAACUUUUUUUUUAUUUCUUAAUCGCAUCGUACGUUUACAUUAAUUAAAAAAUAGGUGAUCUGUAAAUGUUAUGUAUAAUCGUUAAUGUAUACAAUAGUAAACUGUGACAAUACUUUGCAAAUACUUGUUUAAAUCAUUAUCAAAUUACUUUCGUAUCGACGGAACGUGAAAAUACAUAUAUGUUAGAAAAAAUAUAUAGUGUAACUAUAUUAUGUAACAUCAUACGUUCGUUGUACACAAUAAAAACGAUAUUUCUACGUGCCGCGCAUUGAUUUCUCGUUAGUUUAUCUACUUCCCUGUUGAUUUAUCUUAAUUUCAACAACUUUCUUUUUCAAUAGAUCUCGCAAAUUUCAUUAUCAUCGGAACAACUAAAUA